UUUGAUCGACUCUCUGUUAUCCACAACUAAGUCGGCCGAGCUUGAGCUCUCACGGACAAGGAUCAAGCAUCUGGUCUGCAGCACCUUCCACGGCGCUUCUCGUUCCCCAAGCAGCCGCAGGAGGAAGCCAUGACAUCUCCCGCCGUGAGCAUUACUGUCGCAGAGGCCGUCUGGGAGCAGAUCAAAUCCUCACGAUCAGCCUCGGACGAUCACCUGUCGAUUUUGCAAUUCCUCUUCGGCAGGAACUUGGAGCGCGCCACAAGGAUCGUCGACCAGGGCGGCGUGCGUAAGGUCUCCGCCGCGCCCAGCGGCCGCUCCUUCUUCCUGGUUGUCGGGGAGUCAAAGAGGAAGGAAGAGUAUAUCUGCUUCCCGGAGCACCACUGCACUUGCUAUUCCUUCUUCUACGACGUCGUCAAUCGUGGGGAGCAACUCUGCGUGGGCUCUCUUGGAGAUUCUGGGUUCCAAUUUGAUGGCUUGGUUGUGUUAAAUUGCUUUGGUCUCAUUUUUGUCGUUCUUGUUUUAGUGCAAGCAUCAAAUAGCGGCUCGACUGGCAGAAGCCGUAGGCGAGGUUAUGGAAGUGGAGGUGUCCGAUGAGCAGCUAGCAACGAUGCUCUCGAAGCUCUGACAAACAAAGCGCCCCCGAGAGUGGAUAUACUGAUGGAUGCUACUGUUUACAGAUGUCUGACGCAUCAGAAGUUUGGAUCCAACCCAAGUUCUGAGUCUAAGCUUGUCACAAAUCCGGUGUCGUGAAGAUGGGAUUUGGCUGGAUCAACAUAGGCUGAACUGCGAGCUCGAGAUCUGCAAGCUCACGUGGACACCGAAGAGGAUGCUUGGUGGUGCUUACUAUAUGCCGGUGCAUGGGUAGGCUGCCCUAGAAGAAGUGUUUAUGUUGAAAGAAGCUCGAGUUUUGCUAGCUCUAGAACGAUGUUUUGAUAUCAUAGGAAUAAAAGAGUUUCACAUUGAUGCAAUGAAAAUGUUGACCUCUUUAUCUGAAAACAGAAAUAUUUUAAUA
RNA transcript from Musa acuminata AAA Group (dessert banana), 1012 nucleotides. RefSeq lists it as uncharacterized. The record is from RefSeq and is a predicted model, not a curated record. The transcript is spliced from 6 exons. Lineage: Eukaryota; Viridiplantae; Streptophyta; Magnoliopsida; Zingiberales; Musaceae.